CUAAUCGAGUCCCACUUUUAAUUGUACACAAGUCUAUCUUCUGCUUUAAUUAAGAAGACAAGCUAUUAUUGUAAAACUAGAAAUUUUUCAGCAUAAAUAUUAUCAUCCAUUUAUGGUAUCCAAACAGAAAAUUUAAAUAGCAUCUGUAUACUCGACAAAUUUACAUUUCAGCUUCCUAAAUGGAAGUCAACCUCUCUUCAACACCACCACCAUGAUAACCAUCACUGCCAAUGCCAUGAAAGAUGCUCCCAGGGUCUUAUCAAAAAACAAUGAUCGAGAAUUUCCCUCUGCUGCUGUAGAAACGUUAUCUGAGGAAAAGCCAAAAAUGUGCUGAACAAAAGAAGAGACAUUAUUCACCAUCUCAAACACAGUGUGUUUGAUGUUCUCAAAUAUAUCCUUGGGCCCGUUCUCAAACUUUCCAGCUUCACUUGCAUCAUCAGAUAAUUCAGCAAACUCCCUUGGAAAGCCCAAACCCUGUGACUCGUCAUCUGUACCAGAUU
Molecule: unclassified non-coding RNA, 500 nt
Filed under: Hevea brasiliensis (rubber tree)
Lineage: Eukaryota; Viridiplantae; Streptophyta; Magnoliopsida; Malpighiales; Euphorbiaceae
Source: RNAcentral